UAAAAGUAAAUAAUUAUAAAUUUUAGUAACAUAUUUGUAUUUUUAUGCAAUGAUUCCAUAUUCAUAUACAUUAAUAUUUAAAAACUUAGUAUUAGUUAUUUAUAAAUAUGUAAAAUAAACUAUUGAAUAUUAAAUAAAUAAUAUUGAUACAUGUUUUUUAGUAUGUUAGGUUUGAAAGUAUAUUAUUGAACCAGUCAUAAAUAUCUCACAAACGCAUCAGUUUAUAAUCGUUCUACCCGUCGUACAAAUCUCUUAAUAAUGUUUAUAAUCGUAACUAUUUGUAUCCACAAACGCGUGCAAUUGAUGCGGUCAUGUCUUUGAUUCAAACAUUUAUACUAUUAAGAAUGGACUUGAUAUAAAUAUGAGUACACAUCUAUGUUCCUCGUUUACGUAUCUAUAUGUAUAUAGAAAAUCAUGAAAGAAUAUAUUUUGAACAGAUUUGUUUUUUUUUUUUUUUUGGAACAGAUUUUCCUUGAACUAUAAUUUUAGGUAUAUUUUUUUUUUGUAACUAACUAUAAUUUUAGGUUUCUACUUAAUGGAAUGAAAUCACGUGAUACAUAGAAUAUACGUACAAACAAAUUUUUUAAAAAUAAAAAAAAUCGUAAACGAUAUUUGCUUAGAUUCAAAGUUAUUGUUUCGAAAGAUAUGGAAGAUUUAUUUCAAAAGAUAUGGCUUAUAAUUAAUUGACUUUUAAAUGUAGGACAUAAUUUUUUUCAGGUAAAUAAAUAUAUCCGUAUUUUGUGGCCAAUAAAUUAUGAUAUAUAUAUAUAUAUAUAUAUAUAUAUAUCUUUUAUAUCCGAUUUUAGUAUUCACCAUCUUCAUCUUCUCCAAAUGCUUACUGCGUUUAGUUUAUAACAUAAUAUAUUUUUUUUACAAAAAUAGCAGUGCUCAUGUCUAACACUAAUUACAACUUAAAAGUUUAUUCAUUGUUAUUCUUUCUUCUAAAUUUUAAACAACCCAUUAUUAAAAGAAUAUAUGAAUCGAGCAAUUUGUGAAUUGACGGAAUAAAUUACUGCACAUCAAUGGUUAAUGAAUUGAGGCACAUCAUGGUGUAAAUGUGAACCUGGCAAUACAUAGAAGAAACAUGUCAAAGGCUAACAACCCAAGAAUUUUUUUUUUACAACCCAAGAAACUUGUGGAUGCUGUAAAUAUUAAACGAUGUUGUUUAUGUUCAUAGAAGUCUGUUUAACGCAGAUGUGUGGAAAACAGGAAAAUGACAAAAACAUGAAUUAGAUGUUGUG
Molecule: long non-coding RNA, 1241 nt
Filed under: Brassica rapa (field mustard)
Lineage: Eukaryota; Viridiplantae; Streptophyta; Magnoliopsida; Brassicales; Brassicaceae
Description: long non-coding RNA (BRAP_LNC000230)
Source: RNAcentral